This 946-nucleotide ribosomal RNA is filed under the name uncultured bacterium. RNAcentral's name for it is "bacterial SSU rRNA". It matches the Rfam family "Bacterial small subunit ribosomal RNA", at positions 8 to 988 of the family's 1533-position model. The record is from RNAcentral.
AGAGUUUGAUCCUGGCUCAGAAUCAACGCUGGCGGCGUGCCUAACACAUGCAAGUCGAACGAGAAAGUGGAGCAAUCCAUGAGUAAAGUGGCGACCGGGUGAGUAACACGUGACUAACCUGCCCUUGAGUGGGGGAUAACCUCGGGAAACCGGGGCUAAUACCGCAUAACAUCGCAAGAUCAAAGGAGCAAUCCGCUGAAGGAGGGGGUCGCGGCUGAUUAGCUAGUUGGUGAGGUAACGGCUCACCAAGGCGAAGAUCAGUAGCCGGCCUGAGAGGGCGCACGGCCACACUGGAACUGAAACACGGUCCAGACUCCUACGGGAGGCAGCAGUGGGGAAUUUUGCGCAAUGGGGGAAACCCUGACGCAGCAACGCCGCGUGGAGGAUGAAGUCCCUUGGGAUGUAAACUCCUUUCGAUCGGGACGAUUAUGACGGUACCGGAAGAAGAAGCACCGGCUAACUCUGUGCCAGCAGCCGCGGUAAUACAGAGGGUGCAAGCGUUGUUCGGAAUUAUUGGGCGUAAAGGGCGCGUAGGCGGUGCGGUAAGACUGUGGUGAAAUCUCCGGGCUCAACUCGGAAAUUGCCGCGGUGACUGCCGUGCUCGAGUGUGGGAGAGGUGAGUGGAAUUCCCGGUGUAGCGGUGAAAUGCGUAGAUAUCGGGAGGAACACCUGUGGCGAAAGCGGCUCACUGGACCACAACUGACGCUGAGGCGCGAAAGCUAGGGGAGCAAACAGGAUUAGAUACCCUGGUAGUCCUAGCCCUAAACGAUGAUUGCUUGGUGUGUCGGGUACCCAAUCCCGACGUGCCGCAGCUAACGCGAUAAGCAAUCCGCCUGGGGAGUACGUCGCAAGACUGAAACUCAAAGGAAUUGACGGGGCCCGCACAGCGGUGGAGCAUGUGGUUCAAUUCGACGCACGCGAAGAAACAUUACCUGGGCUCGAAAUG